UGGGGAAUCUUGGACAAUGGGCGCAAGCCUGAUCCAGGCAUGCCGCGUGAGUGAAGAAGGCCUUCGGGUUGUAAAGCUCUUUUACCAGGGACGAUAAUGACGGUACCUGGAGAAUAAGCCCCGGCAAACUUCGUGCCAGCAGCCGCGGUAAUACGAAGGGGGCUAGCGUUGUUCGGAAUUACUGGGCGUAAAGCGCACGUAGGCGGAUUGUUAAGUCAGAGGUGAAAUCCCGGAGCUCAACUUCGGAACUGCCUCCAAAACUACAAGUCUGGACCUAAGUAGAGGCAAGUGGAAUUGCGAGUGUAGAGGUGAAAUUCGUAGAUAUUCGCAGGAACACCAGUGGCGAAGGCGACUUGCUGGACUUAUGGUGACGCUGAGACGCGAAAGCGUGGGGAGCAAACAGGAUUAGAUACCCAAGUAGUCCCUGAGCGGGCUGGCAAGGCGCAU
Molecule: ribosomal RNA, 447 nt
Filed under: uncultured bacterium
Lineage: Bacteria
Description: bacterial SSU rRNA
Rfam family: Bacterial small subunit ribosomal RNA
Source: RNAcentral